Molecule: ribosomal RNA, 441 nt
Filed under: uncultured bacterium
Lineage: Bacteria
Description: bacterial SSU rRNA
Rfam family: Bacterial small subunit ribosomal RNA
Source: RNAcentral
CCUACGGGUGGCUGCAGCAGGGAAUAUUGCGCAAUGAGCGAAAGCUUGACGCAGCGACACCGCGUGUGGGAUGACGGAUCUAGGUUUGUAAACCACUUUCAGGAGGGAAGAAAAUGACGGUACCUCCACAAGAAGCCCCGGCCAACUACGUGCCAGCAGCCGCGGUAAUACGUAGGGGGCGAGCGUUGUCCGGAUUUAUUGGGCGUAAAGAGCUCGUAGGCGGUUCAACAAGUCGGUCGUGAAAGUUCAGGGCUCAACCCUGAAAUGUCGAUCGAUACUGUUGUGACUAGGAUACGGUAGAGGUGAGUGGAAUUCCGAGUGUAGCGGUGAAAUGCGUAGAUAUUCGGAGGAACACCAAUUGCGAAGGCAGCUCACUGGGCCGCUAUCGACGCUGAGGAGCGAAAGCUAGGGGAGCAAACAGGAUUAGAUACCCCAGUAGUC